GGGGUUGUGGCUCAGUGGUAGAGCGCUUGCCUAGCAUGCAUGAGACCCUGAGUUCGAUCCCCGGCACCA
Molecule: non-coding RNA, 69 nt
Organism: Ictidomys tridecemlineatus (thirteen-lined ground squirrel)
Lineage: Eukaryota; Metazoa; Chordata; Mammalia; Rodentia; Sciuridae
Source: Rfam